CAGCCUGGAUCCCAUAAG
RNAcentral lists this unclassified non-coding RNA (18 nucleotides) under Mus musculus (house mouse). Its description in RNAcentral is "oocyte_clustered_small_RNA4428". The record is from RNAcentral. Lineage: Eukaryota; Metazoa; Chordata; Mammalia; Rodentia; Muridae.